AGAAUCAACGCUGGCGGCGUGCCUAACACAUGCAAGUCGAACGAGAAAGUGGAGCAAUCCACGAGUAAAGUGGCGCACGGGUGAGUAACACGUGACUAACCUACCUUCGAGUGGGGGAUAACCUCGGGAAACCGAGGCUAAUACCGCAUAACAUCGCAAGAUCAAAGCAGCAAUGCGCUGGAAGAGGGGGGUCGCGGCUGAUUAGCUAGUUGGCGGGGUAACGGCCCACCAAGGCGAAGAUCGGUAGCCGGCCUGAGAGGGCGCACGGCCACACUGGAACUGAAACACGGUCCAGACUCCUACGGGAGGCAGCAGUGGGGAAUUUUGCGCAAUGGGGGAAACCCUGACGCAGCAACGCCGCGUGGAGGAUGAAGCCCCUUGGGGCGUAAACUCCUUUCGACCAAGACGAUAAUGACGGUACUGGUGGAAGAAGCACCGGCUAACUCUGUGCCAGCAGCCGC
Molecule: ribosomal RNA, 461 nt
Filed under: uncultured bacterium
Lineage: Bacteria
Description: SSU rRNA
Rfam family: Bacterial small subunit ribosomal RNA
Source: RNAcentral